This 103-nucleotide microRNA precursor is filed under the name Marmota monax (woodchuck). The record is from RNAcentral. Lineage: Eukaryota; Metazoa; Chordata; Mammalia; Rodentia; Sciuridae.
AGAGGGAUAGCUGGGUCAAAUGGUGGUUCCAUUCCCAGAUUUCCAAGGAAUCUCCAUACUGCUUUCCAAAUUGGUUGCACCAAUUUGCAGUCCCACCAGCAAU